CUCGUAGGCGGCCAACUAAGUCCGACGUGAAAUCCCCAGGCUUAACCUGGGAACUGCGUCGGAUACUGGAUGGCUUGAAUCCGGGAGAGGGAUGCAGAAUUCCAGGUGUAGCGGUGAAAUGCGUAGAUAUCUGGAGGAAUACCGGUGGCGAAGGCGGCAUCCUGGACCGGCAUUGACGCUGAUGAGCGAAAGCUAGGGAGCAAACG
This 206-nucleotide ribosomal RNA is filed under the name uncultured bacterium. Its description in RNAcentral is "partial 16S ribosomal RNA". It matches the Rfam family "Bacterial small subunit ribosomal RNA", at positions 568 to 774 of the family's 1533-position model. The record is from RNAcentral.